This is a non-coding RNA of Xylariaceae sp. AK1471, 98 nucleotides long. NCBI's taxonomy places the organism in Eukaryota, Fungi, Ascomycota, Sordariomycetes, Xylariales, Xylariaceae. The record is from the annotation of a GenBank genome assembly.
GGGCGAAUGGUCUAGGGGUAUGAUAUUCGCUUUGCACGUCUGAGUCAUUCAGAGUAAAUGUUUGCGAAGGGUCCGGGGUUCAAUUCCCCGUUCGUCCA